UUCAGUAUGCUAGAAUUUACAUAGAGAUGAUUAACAUUUCAAAGGGAACAGAGCAAACAUUAAAUGCAGGCAUGUUACGUGUUUAUGACUGGCAGGAGGGUUGGUUUAUUGCUGUCCUAGGACAUGAGUCCUAGGUGACUUCAUAAUCUUUCAAACAGAGUAGACAAUAUCCAGCUGGAUUCAAGUACCCCCAAAAUGGGUUAUAAAAGGCACUACAUGAUGGAUUUUAGGUUUUAGCUGUGAAGAGUUUGGUGAACCAAAUAAGAACAUUUAUGAUACUAAUAAAACAGUGAAGCUGAAAAAAAAAGCAUCCAGAAGUCAAUAGAAGGAAGUGCAAGAGUACUUGAAGCAGUGACUAGUAUGUAAAGGAAGAAGUGAAAAGUUUAAUAAAAAGAAAGUCUUCUGUCAUACCAUUGGAUGAAUCUGCUGAUAGAGAUGACUGCCUUACUCUCCUCUCUCUUUGUGAACUACUGGAAGACUGCAGAUGAACAGUUGUGAAGUGAAGCCUCCCUUGAAAAUCCACAGUGGGAUCUGAAAAGUCUGAAAGGUGGACCAAAACUGCCUGCUUCUCUUCAGGCAACAUCUCAGGGACAAAACAAAACAAACAAAAAAAUCCAAAAAGCCAAACCAACCAACCAAAAAAAACCACAAACCAAGUAGUUCUUGAAAGGAAAGAAACUACUUCCUAGCACCUCCAAGGGGCAAGACUGAUGAAUACUGUUUUCCUACCACUCAUCACUAGCUUGUGGCUUGUUAAAUGUACUGAGUUUGGACAUGCUGCUGCUUUUUUGCAUGCUAAUUGUUCUAAAUCUUAUUAUGAAAUACUUAACAUUCUCUAUGCAACAGAUUGGCAACUAGUAUGCCUAACAGAGUUGAGGGAGAGCAGGUGCUUAGAAGUUACAGACUUUUACUUCUGGAUAACCUAUUUGAUAGGGAACCUUAAUCUUACUGGACAUAAGUUCCCACAUCUGUAAAGAAAGGCUAAAACCAGCAUGUAAAUAUGUGCUCACUAAUAUAAGCAAACAAUACCUUUUUGAAUCUUACUUGAGACAAAGCCCCCCCUAGAAAAAUCACCACUGAUUUGGGAAGGUUAAAUUACAGUCCUCACCACAAGAAUCUAUUACUGAGCCAAUGAUUAUGCUAGCAGUAGUCAUAACCAUUAAGGUAUGAAGGCCUGUAGCCAAAAUGUUGAUGCUACACUUAUUGUUGCGUGACCUUUCCUAUGUUUCCAAGAAAGCUUUGCUGUGCUGAGAAGAAUCUCCUGACCUAAGCUUUUUAAAAGAUUGGCAGACUGUUCUGAGUGGGAGGCUGCAUGAGAGCAAAAGAUAAAUAUUUGCAAUACAAUGUAGAUAAAGAGGAGGCUGGAAAUGUUACUGCAGUAUCAAGGCUUUAUUUUACUUUUGCAUUUGGGUAAGUGCCAAAAGAACUAAAUCAGCACACUGGAAGAUGCAAGAAUGAACUUAAAAGAAAAAGAUAAGUUACUAAUACCAGGAGUACAAGUUUUAUUUUUAAUAUAAUUUUUUGUCUUCUGAACCUGAAGUAAUACUAACGGGAAAAAGUGCUGUGUUUUUAUUUCCAGCCCAUAUAUAUCUGCCUUUAUAAUUUACAUAAGUAUUGUAGUGGAAUAUUAACUUCCAUUAUUUAUGAAUCUAUUGAACUUUGCAAGGAUGUGCUGGCAGUUGAAGGAUUAUAAUUUUAAAGGUAGUUCAGUUCACAUCAUAAAUAUCCUUAAAGGUCACAUCCUACCUUACAGUAACAUCUGAAGGAGAAGCAGCUUAAAGUCAGGCUUGUUUCUGUCAAUUCAGAAAAAGUUUUACCAAAAUUAUGAUAGUAGAAAUCCAAAAGUACAUAUUUGUUACCCUAUGGGAGUAUUUUUGUACAUGUUUUUGUGAUGUUCUGUGCUCACAUGGGUAUUGUGUUACUAUGUAGAGUCCCUCCUCUUGGUUCUUUGAGGACGCCUUAACUCUGGGGAUACCAAAGACCAGAACUGAGACCACAGCAUUCCCAAUACCUUUAUAUAACAAGUACAUUGCAAUAUCAGUCCACUGGGUUCUUAACAUCAUUGUUCCUGUUGUCUACCUACCCUUGAAGUAUCAUAAAUAAAGAAAGGCACUCAGUGUUUCUGCCCGUUAGGUCAGCUUUACGUUGUGGAAGAAGAAUCCAAAGUAUGGAAGCAAUGAAACUUACUGUUCACCUGAAAACUUUAUGCUGUGUUAAUAAUGACAAGCCUGCAUAGUGGUUCAGUCUAAGUAGUUUAUAUGUGAGUGGUUUCCAUAGAAUAGAGAUCACCACACCAGUGAUCAUCACACCACUAUAUAAUUGAAAAAACUUUUAGUAGGUCAUGGAUAAAAUACUCACAGGUAAAACUGGAAAUAGUUUGUACAAGGGCACUGACUAGAGUAAGGAGUAUUCAUUUGUAGUAACUGUGUGCAUUUUUUUUUUUUUCCUGACAAUGUAAUGGUGAAUAGUCACUUAUUUUCAUUUACCUGUUUGCAACAGAGAGGGAAAAAUAAAGCACCUAUUAACUUGGUGUAUUAAAAUGGAUGAUACUGAAAAAAUCGGAAUAUUUCAUUGCAUUAUAAAGGGUGUCCGUAAAAUUUCUUGUAAUAUCGUUUUUACACGUUGUGUUAUCUUCCAUAAUAAAUACUACUAGCAUAGAUUUAUGAGAACUCUUUACUAUAAAGAUGCAAAGGAGACUGACAAAUAAAAACUGAUGCAUUUUGGCUGGAUUAUUAAAUUUUCUUGAGAUAGUUUAAAACAGCAUGCUACACAUUCGUUUGUGGUCAGCAACUAAGAAUAUGGCACAAUAUCUACACCAUACAUAUUUUUGUUUAUGACUGUUGGAAUGAAAGUCAGGAACAACCUAUUUUUUAUUUAAGCAGUUCCUAGAUCUGAGACUUUCACACUGUACCAGUAGUUUGUAUAGUUUAAAGGACUGAUCUGCUGCUACAGAACAAAGCAGUACUUCUCUCCUUAGCUGCUUGCAGUCUUCACGCUGCUGCGUAACAUAUGCCAGGCUUUGAACAAACUGGCCUUUUCAGAUAUGGAGAGCUGAAGUAUCCCUAUUCAUGAAAAAAGUUAGCAAAAUUAUUUUCUAAGGAGAGAAAUUCUUUUAUUGUUUUAGUAUUUUCAUUAUCAUGCUAAAGACAAAUUCUUUUUGCUUGUUAGGAGCAGUAAAUAUGCACAUCAGUUGCAAAUGUCAAGAUUUCUGGUUUGGGGUCAAUUAAAAUGCUAUAAACUUACCAGGGCGAAAAAAAAGAUCGUGAUUCUCUCUCUCUCUCUUUUUUUUUCCUUUCCACCCUUCCUUCUCAUAACUGAAAAUAAGCCCAAGUAAUCAGUGGGUUCUGAGAAGUGAUCAUAUAAACUACUUGGGCUAAGGGAACAGCAAAGAGAAAUACAGGGCUGUCCAAGUGAAACUCCAAAGGAAUUUAGGUAAAUAAGCUCAAGAAAUCAAGAUGAAACCAGAAUAUCAGAUUACUAUACUUAUACACUUUCUUUCCUUAGGAAACAGUGUGAUAUUAACUCACAGUCCUUACUGGAAAUGUGUGCUCAAUGACUUUUCUUAGGUAUUUCAGAACUGGGAUUCCACCCAGUAACUUCAAUGGGACUACCUGUUAGAUACAGGACGACAAAUCUAGUCCUAAAGUGGAAGACUCUCUUGAUAAAUGUGCAUCCUAAUUCUCAAUGACAUUAAAGUGAGUGAAACAUAUGUACAGAGAGAAUAAAAUGCCAAAACGUAUUGCUUUGCCAAGUUGCCACAGUUGGAAGCUUUCAGUAAAUUUCCAUGUGUUUGUUGAUAAAUCCUCCAUUUUGAAUAAAACAUUAUUUCAUUUUUAGAGCAGAUUUAGAGUGACAAGCCCUUAAGGCUAAGCAAUACCUCACUUUUUUUUGAAACACCUGUGAAAGAAAGUUGUUUCUUCACUUUUGUCUAGAUAUCUGCAAGAAAUCUGAGUUUUCUGGUAGCUAAUUCACCUGCUAUACGAAUUUGCAUUUUUAAAAGCUUGGAGGCAAAUAUCAGUUCAGAAGUCUUAAAUGUUUGUUGUUAGAAGCAGAAACAAGCUUGGUUAAUUGUUAAACAAUGGACAAUUUCCUGGAUGAUUCAAUAUAUCACAGGAGAUAGAUAACCUUGAUUAGGACCUCAGGAAUAAUUGAACAAGAUAAAUUACGAAACUAGCUUAGACUGCAAAGGAUAUAAGAAAGGAAUUCACUCUAACAUGAAGACUAUUAUCUUUAUAUAUAAUUAUAGGUUUUUGGUAUCAAAACACACCUACAGUGUGUUUCUAAGCUUGCUGCAGCUAUUGAAAAUGCAGAGAGAUGGCAACUAAUAUUUGGAUUUUGAAGAGUAUGAUUUAAUUAUUUGUCUUUACAAUAGUCAAUAAAGAGAUUCUAUGGACUCUCAUUAAAAUUUGAUACUGUGAAACAAUAACAGAUCAUUUUGAUUGGUAUUAGAUUGCUUGAUAAUAUGAGAUAAUGCAAUACCAGCUCCUUCUUGGCCUUGAGUGAUCCUGUGAUGCAGUUCACAUAGCACACAAGUCCCAAACUAACAAUGCUGUAGCUGUUUCAUCUGUCGGAAACCUCGUAUAAAUCAGAGGGCUUCGUAAUGGCUGUACAAAGAGUCACAAUAUUUUGAAAUCAACACUGUACUUUUCUCAGUUAAAAAAUCCAUUCCCCUAUGCAUCUAUUAACCUCUCAUCCUCUAAAGCUGCGUCCUCUAUCAGCUCAAACUACAAAAUCAAUCAGACAAGUACCUAGGACAGUAAGGAGAUCCACAACAGCUCUCAGCAAGGGGCUGUGCUCUCUGACCCCAGCUGCCAGCAGAUGCCCAGAGAAGGUGUAAAGACAUGGUAAAUAUACAGUUUAUACCUCCAGAAUAUUCUCAGUAUCCACCAAUGUGUGACUCAAGAGCUUCUUAUUUAUUAAAGUAAGCAGAAUCCAAGUUCAUGCCUGGAAGUUGGUAGAAUCAUAUUGCAGUUUUUGGAAGCAUUCUUGGUGUAUUGCCCCUUUCAAGUCAUGAGCACUGGACCUCCCAGUGCUCUGCGGCAAACCCCAUUGCCUCCACGAAUGGCCACCUUUCUGUCUGUCGUGAUGUUCUAAAGGUCACUCCUCUCUUUGCUGUUAUGGACCGGUAUGCAUUGCUUGUGGCUACUUGCUUCUAAAAACAGUUUCCUUCUCCUUUUCUCUAGCAAUAAUUCUAACAGCGGUUGUGGUAUUUUCCAUCCAGAAGGCACAUUUACAGGAUCCAGCUAAAUCAGUUUAGACAUUUUCUCUGCUACUUGAUGAAAAAUCUUGAAGUUGUAGGGAAAAUUACUGUAAAAAACUGGAAGGUUAGAACAGCUUGCUUACCAGUUGUUUUAUAAAGUUUGAAAAUCUGCAGCAUCUCAGACCAAGUGAAGGUUCAGUCUGACAGAAAGCUGAGUAUUUUUCUGCAGAAGCUUAUAGAAAUAAAUUGCCAGCAAUCUAGUUACAGAAAGAAAAUCAAAGUAAUCAAAGCCUUUGAAAUGCCACAGUGGCCAAGCAUUUUAUUUAUUUAUUUAUUUAUUUAUUUUCCUGUAGUAUGGCUACUGUAGGUGAUAUGCUAUACCCAGGUAGGUAGAGAUUACAGGUCUAUUUAUAUCUGUAUCUGUAUAUUCAUCCCUUUCUAAUCUCUAUCUGCAUGAUAUCAUAGAAAAUAUUAAGAAAGCAAGGAAGAUAUAUACAGUAUUUGUGCUGCUCCCGAUUAUUAUCUACCAAUGAGUAAUUAGAAAAUCUCAUUUGCUAAGAAAGGAAGAGGUGCCUGGUCCAAAAAUCAUGGAUUCUGUAGAGUUAUUAGUCUGAUGGAACAUAUGGUCCUCACCUCAUGCUAAAUCCUCUGUGUCUCAUCAGCAGCAAUUACCUGCCCAUCCUUCUGACUUACUGGAGCCAGCAACCUUCUCACCUGUUCCCUUGUAACAUUUCCUCUUGCUCCAUAUAUUCCAACCACCUUUUUCUCUCAAGUUAGACUCAAGUCCCAGCCUGACUAAUAGAGUCGUUUC
Long non-coding RNA from Columba livia (rock pigeon), 6011 nucleotides. RefSeq lists it as uncharacterized. The record is from RefSeq and is a predicted model, not a curated record. The transcript is spliced from 4 exons. NCBI's taxonomy places the organism in Eukaryota, Metazoa, Chordata, Aves, Columbiformes, Columbidae.